Dermochelys coriacea (leatherback sea turtle) is the source of this 146-nucleotide long non-coding RNA. RefSeq lists it as uncharacterized. The transcript is spliced from 3 exons. The record is from RefSeq and is a predicted model, not a curated record. NCBI's taxonomy places the organism in Eukaryota, Metazoa, Chordata, Testudines, Dermochelyidae.
GUAAGGUAUAUGGGUGACUAUUUAUAAUAUUAUUGAUACCAGUAUUACAAAAUUGCAAUGAAUCUUAGAAGAUGUGCCAUGUAAUGUAUCAGUGAAAAAGUUAUGAUUUGCUAAGUAUGAUCUUGUUUAUUUAAUUUGAAAGUUAC